AGCAGCCGCGGUAAUUCCAGCUCCAAUAGCGUAUAUUAAAGUUGUUGCAGUUAAAAAGCUCGUAGUUGAAUUUCGGGGUUAGUAGGUUGGUCAUGCCUCUGGUAUGUACUGGUCUCACUGAUUCCUCCUUCCUGAUGAACCUUAAUGCCAUUUAUUUGGUGUUUUGGGGAAUUUGGACUGUUACUUUGAAAAAUUAGAGUGUUUAAAGCAAGCUAACGCUUGAAUACAUUAGCAUGGAAUAAUGAAAUAGGACGUUCGAUCCUAUUUUGUUGGUUUCUAGGAUUGACGUAAUGAUUAAUAGGGAUAGUUGGGGGCAUUAGUAUUCAAUUGUCAGAGGUGAAAUUCUUGGAUUUAUUGAAGACUAACUCUGCGAAAGCAUUUGCCAAGGAUGUUUCCAUUAAUCAAGAACGAAAGUUAGGGGACCGAAGACGAUCAGAUACCGUCGUAGUCUUAACCAUAAACUAUGCCGACUAGGGAUCGGAUGAUGUUAAUUUUAAUGACUCAUUCGGCACCGUUACGG
RNAcentral lists this ribosomal RNA (520 nucleotides) under uncultured Glomus. Its description in RNAcentral is "SSU rRNA". It matches the Rfam family "Eukaryotic small subunit ribosomal RNA", at positions 569 to 1094 of the family's 1831-position model. Lineage: Eukaryota; Fungi; Glomeromycota; Glomeromycetes; Glomerales; Glomeraceae. The record is from RNAcentral.